This 54-nucleotide transfer RNA is filed under the name Fusarium acuminatum CS5907. RNAcentral's name for it is "tRNA-Met". The record is from RNAcentral. Lineage: Eukaryota; Fungi; Ascomycota; Sordariomycetes; Hypocreales; Nectriaceae.
CAAUAGGAAGCUUGCUUAUCCUUAUGAUGGAUAAAUCAUAUGAUCGUUCUUCUU